This 292-nucleotide ribosomal RNA is filed under the name uncultured bacterium. RNAcentral describes it as "partial 16S ribosomal RNA". It matches the Rfam family "Bacterial small subunit ribosomal RNA", at positions 505 to 796 of the family's 1533-position model. The record is from RNAcentral.
GUGUCAGCAGCCGCGGUAAGACGGAGGGUGCAAACGUUGCUCGGAAUCACUGGGCAUAAAGCGCACGUAGGCGGCCAACUAAGUCGGGUGUGAAAGCCCCCGGCUCAACCGGGGAAUGGCUCCCGAUACUGGUUGGCUCGAGGACGGUAGGGGUGAGUGGAACUCCAGGUGGAGCGGUGAAAUGCGUAGAUAUCUGGAGGAACACCGGUGGCGAAAGCGGCUCACUGGACCGUCUCUGACGCUGAGGUGCGAAAGCCAGGGUAGCGAACGGGAUUAGAUACCCGCGUAGUCC